This 254-nucleotide ribosomal RNA is filed under the name uncultured bacterium. RNAcentral's name for it is "partial 16S ribosomal RNA". It matches the Rfam family "Bacterial small subunit ribosomal RNA", at positions 524 to 777 of the family's 1533-position model. The record is from RNAcentral.
UACGUAGGGACCAAGCGUUGUCCGGAAUCAUUGGGCGUAAAGCGCGCGUAGGUGGCCAUUUAAGUCCGCUGUGAAAGUCAGAGGCUCAACCUUUGAAAGCCGGUGGAUACUGGAUGGCUAGAGUACGGAAGAGGCGAGUGGAAUUCCUGGUGUAGCGGUGGAAUGCGCAGAUAUCAGGAGGAACACCAAUAGCGAAGGCAGCUCGCUGGGACGUUACUGACACUAAGGCGCGAAAGCGUGGGGAGCGAACGAGG